AUAUCAAUAAGCGGAGGAAAAGAAACCAACAGGGAUUGCCUCAGUAGCGGCGAGUGAAGCGGCAAAAGCUCAGAUUUGAAAUCCAACGUCUUUCGGCGUUCGAGUUGUAAUCUGGAGAGGAUGCUCCGGCGAGACCGACCGCCCAAGUUCCUUGGAACAGGACGCCUUAGAGGGUGAGAGCCCCGUACCCGGCGGUCCGGUCGAGCCAUGUGGUGCUCCCUCGACGAGUCGAGUUGUUUGGGAAUGCAGCUCAAACUGGGUGGUAAAUUCCAUCUAAAGCUAAAUAUCGGCGGGAGACCGAUAGCGCACAAGUAGAGUGAUCGAAAGAUGAAAAGCACUUUGAAAAGAGAGUUAAAAAGUAC
Molecule: ribosomal RNA, 362 nt
Filed under: uncultured fungus
Lineage: Eukaryota; Fungi
Description: eukaryotic LSU rRNA
Rfam family: Eukaryotic large subunit ribosomal RNA
Source: RNAcentral